AUUGAACGCUGGCGGCAUGCCUUACACAUGCAAGUCGAACGGCAGCACGGGAGCAAUCCUGGUGGCGAGUGGCGAACGGGUGAGUAAUAUAUCGGAACGUGCCCAGUCGUGGGGGAUAACGUAGCGAAAGCUACGCUAAUACCGCAUACGAUCUAUGGAUGAAAGCGGGGGAUCGCAAGACCUCGCGCGAUUGGAGCGGCCGAUAUCAGAUUAGGUAGUUGGUGAGGUAAAGGCUCACCAAGCCGACGAUCUGUAGCUGGUCUGAGAGGACGACCAGCCACACUGGGACUGAGACACGGCCCAGACUCCUACGGGAGGCAGCAGUGGGGAAUUUUUGGACAAUGGGCGCAAGCCUGAUCCAGCAAUGCCGCGUGCAGGAUGAAGGCCUCGGUUGUAACGU
This 400-nucleotide ribosomal RNA is filed under the name uncultured bacterium. RNAcentral describes it as "bacterial SSU rRNA". It matches the Rfam family "Bacterial small subunit ribosomal RNA", at positions 30 to 431 of the family's 1533-position model. The record is from RNAcentral.